CUGCGGAAGGAUCAUUACCUAGAGUUGUAGGCUUUGCCUGCUAUCUCUUACCCAUGUCUUUUGAGUACCUUACGUUUCCUCGGCGGGUCCGCCCGCCGAUUGGACAAUUUAAACCAUUUGCAGUUGCAAUCAGCGUCUGAAAAAACUUAAUAGUUACAACUUUCAACAACGGAUCUCUUGGUUCUGGCAUCGAUGAAGAACGCAGCGAAAUGCGAUAAGUAGUGUGAAUUGCAGAAUUCAGUGAAUCAUCGAAUCUUUGAACGCACAUUGCGCCCCUUGGUAUUCCAUGGGGCAUGCCUGUUCGAGCGUCAUUUGUACCUUCAAGCUCUGCUUGGUGUUGGGUGUUUGUCUCGCCUCUGCGUGUAGACUCGCCUCAAAACAAUUGGCAGCCGGCGUAUUGAUUUCGGAGCGCAGUACAUCUCGCGCUUUGCACUCAUAACGACGACGUCCAAAAGUACAUUUUUACACUCUUGACCUCGGAUCAGGUAGGGAUACCCGCUGAACUUAAGCAUAUCAUAAGCGGGAGGA
Molecule: ribosomal RNA, 528 nt
Filed under: Ascochyta medicaginicola
Lineage: Eukaryota; Fungi; Ascomycota; Dothideomycetes; Pleosporales; Didymellaceae
Description: eukaryotic LSU rRNA
Rfam family: 5.8S ribosomal RNA (bases 158-311)
Source: RNAcentral